ACAUCGGAGGUCUUUGGACGCAAGUUGCGCCCGAUGCCAUUAGGUUGAGGGCACGUCUGCCUGGGUGUCACAUAUCGAAACCCCCUGCCAAUUUCCCUUUGAUUAUUGUGCAGGGUGGAUGUUGGCCUCCCGUGAGCUCUUUUGUCUCAUGGUUGGUUGAAAAUUGAGACCUUGGUAGGGUGUGCCAUGAUAGAUGGUGGUUGUGUGACCCACGAGACCAAUCAUGCGCUGCUCUAUUGAAUUUUGGCCUCUUUUACCCAUAUGCGUUUCUAAACGCUCGUGAUGAGACCUCAGGUCAGGCGGGGCUACCCGCUGAAUUUAAGCAUAUCAAUAAGCGGAGGAAAAGAAACUAACAAGGAUUCCCUUAGUAACGGCGAGCGAACCGGGAUAAGCCCACCAUGAGAAUCGGUCGCCCUCGGCGUUCGAAUUGUAUCGAAAAAAAACCUUCAAAUAAUU
RNAcentral lists this ribosomal RNA (456 nucleotides) under Vicia peregrina. RNAcentral describes it as "eukaryotic LSU rRNA". The stretch from base 286 to 456 matches the Rfam family "Eukaryotic large subunit ribosomal RNA", at positions 1 to 171 of the family's 3401-position model. The record is from RNAcentral. Lineage: Eukaryota; Viridiplantae; Streptophyta; Magnoliopsida; Fabales; Fabaceae.